GGAGAGGUGUCCGAGCGGUCUAAGGAGCGCGACUGGAAAUCGCGUAGGCGGGUUUCCCGCCUCGAGGGUUCAAAUCCCUCCCUCUCCG
Molecule: transfer RNA, 88 nt
Filed under: Thermoleophilia bacterium
Lineage: Bacteria; Bacillati; Actinomycetota; Thermoleophilia
Description: tRNA-Ser
Rfam family: tRNA
About the family: Transfer RNA (tRNA) molecules are approximately 80 nucleotides in length. Their secondary structure includes four short double-helical elements and three loops (D, anti-codon, and T loops).
Source: RNAcentral